Molecule: long non-coding RNA, 464 nt
Filed under: Brassica napus (rape)
Lineage: Eukaryota; Viridiplantae; Streptophyta; Magnoliopsida; Brassicales; Brassicaceae
Description: long non-coding RNA (BNAP_LNC000335)
Source: RNAcentral
UGAGUUGGUUCGAUUUUGCUAGUUAGAAACGGUUAAGCGUGUAAUUUAUACGAAUAUUUUAUAGUUAUUUGAUUAUUUAUUUUAUUUAUUUUGUAUCCAUUCAAAAAGUUCAGGGAAUUACAAAAAGAAAACAAUGCAUUAACAAUCAAAAUUUUGUAUAUUUUUAACUAUGUGUGAAAAUUUUAAAACAUAUAUUUUCAAAACAGAGGGAAUAUGUUUUCUGUAACUAGAGAAUAUGUUAAACAUAAAUCAUGUCACCGUAAAUUUAUCAUUCUUGGGUAAAUUAAUUGUGUGUGUGUUCGUAUGUGGUUGGUUCGACUGAAUUAUUGUGUGUAAUAAUGUAAAUCUCGCUGUUUAAUAAAGGCGGGUACCAAAAGUUGUGGUUCAUACACUUACAAGAAUCCUAUUGGGAAAAACAAGAUAGUGAUGUAGAAAUUUCACGUCGAGCAAAUCCAUGUUCGAUU